RNAcentral lists this long non-coding RNA (832 nucleotides) under Papio anubis (olive baboon). RNAcentral describes it as "lncRNA (ENSPANG00000036636.2)". The record is from RNAcentral. Lineage: Eukaryota; Metazoa; Chordata; Mammalia; Primates; Cercopithecidae.
UGUUUAUGGGUUAAUAGAAUGAACAGCUCUUCUUGCCAGCUGGCCUCCUGCAGUCCGGACUCUGCCCCACAGUUCUUGGAUCUCUAAGAGGGUGACCUAUCUGGAGCUUCCCCUAACCAAAAUCCAGAGUGACUCUCAUGGAUGGCUGUGGGCGGGCGACUCCGGUUUCUGUGUGGUCAGAUGGAAUUUGCCUAAAAGCUACCCGACCCUGAUUAUUCUUCCCAAUGUCUGACACCUUGAAAUGGCACAUGGCUUAAGGUGUGCACCCAGGUGGGUGCUGUGAGAGAAUUCUGUCCAGGAAAGAGAAUGCUCUGGUCCAUAAUCAACUUCUAGAAAACCAUGAUGCCUUUAUCAAGAAGGUGGAUACCCUCAUGGAAGCAAAAUCAGUCUCCUGAAAGAACUCCAAAAACAAGAAAUUCAUCUGGAAGAAUCAACCGCUUUUACUAUUCUGACCAUUAUUGUGAACCAUGACACAUGCUUUCAACGGAACUCGCCCAUCUCACAAACAUGAUUUCGCUCCUAGACUGUUCUUCAGGUUUCCAUCUACAGCCAUCUGUGACUGGCCCUUAUCUGGAAGGCGAGAGCUGACCUACUUCACCCAGAAAGUGGCUGUGGCUUCAGACCAGGACCGGGGUCAGGUGUGUGAGAUGCUCACCUCGGGUGCAAAAUGUAAAGGGGCAAAAAGUCAUCCAGAUAAAUGAUAUUUUGAUGCAAUAUUUUUAAAAAUUAAAUGAAUUUUUUAAAAAGCAUCACAAAUAAAAUAUUACUAUUUUAAAUACAGACAGUCUCUGACUGCGUCAUGCCCAACCACAUUGGAGCCUGAGGCAAAAGG